UCUAAAAUGGCAGACAUUAAUGCCAUGGGGUUAAGAUCCAUUUACGAGGAUCUCCUCUUUUAGAA
Molecule: transfer RNA, 65 nt
Filed under: Baetis niger
Lineage: Eukaryota; Metazoa; Arthropoda; Insecta; Ephemeroptera; Baetidae
Description: tRNA-Leu
Source: RNAcentral